GACAGAGGUUGCAAUCGUUGUUCGGAAUCACUGGGCAUAAAGCGCACGUAGGCGGUCUGUUAAGUCAGGUGUGAAAGCCCCCGGCUCAACCGGGGAAUUGCAUUUGAUACUGGCAGGCUCGAGAACGGUAGGGGUGAGUGGAACUCCAGGUGGAGCGGUGAAAUGCGUAGAUAUCUGGAGGAACACCGGUGGCGAAAGCGGCUAUCUGGACCAACACUGACACUGAGGCACAAAAGCGUGGGUAGCAAACAGG
RNAcentral lists this ribosomal RNA (253 nucleotides) under uncultured bacterium. Its description in RNAcentral is "partial 16S ribosomal RNA". It matches the Rfam family "Bacterial small subunit ribosomal RNA", at positions 524 to 776 of the family's 1533-position model. The record is from RNAcentral.